UCUACUCACCUAGGGUGACGAGGCGGCUGGGUGCCCGUGGCCACCUCAGACAGACACACACCUUUGCUCCGUGCCACACUCAGCGGCGCCCCUCGGACCACGAUGGUGGACUCCACCAAGCUCGGUCCCUGGUCCCGACCCCCUCCCGAAUCACAGCAGCGGGUCCUUGGAGUUCCAGCUGUGAAGUCAGGGCGCCUUCCGGCUCCUAGGCAGCUAAGUUGCUCCUGCUUUUAGUGCUGCUGAAGUGCCUGGCUACUCAUCACCCUGCCCCACCUUCUCAAAGCUGUGUUCGCAGCAAUGUAGUAGAAACCUUUGUGACUGGAUUUUUCUUUUCUUUUCUUUUUUUAAAAGAAGGUGGAAAUGGGACAGGAGAACACACGUCCUCGGGUGGAGGUUUCUUCCCCAUGAUGAAGUUUCUGCUCUGGGAAACUCCAGGGGACCGCACCUCUGCCACACACUGUUCUCCCCGGGGCAGGUUUACCUGAUGCGUCAGGAAAGCAGUUGUGCCAAACAGCAGGGCGACGCCUGGGGAAAUGGACUGGGGAGGACGACCCACAGUCCAUCUUGACACGCCCAGAUGGGAUUGCCUGCAAAGUUCUGGCCCAGUGGGGUUACAGUGAUGAAAGACAACAACCCUGGAGGAACGCACAGCAUAAGGAAAGCGCAAGGACCAGCAAGCUCUUUAAUUAAUAGCAACGUAGCCUGGGACAGUUGCUACCAGCAAGGAUGUCUCUAAGGUAUGGUGGAACAUGACAAUAAUCCCAGCGCUUGAGAAGCUGAUGCAAGAGGAUCAAGAAUUCCAGGCAAGCUUGGGCCUCAUAACAAGUUGGGACCAGCCUGAGAUACAUAGUGAAGACCUGACUCAAAACACCAAAGGCUGACUAUUGAAACCAAAAUGGCAGUUCCUCAGAAAACUGUGAAUCCAUUUACCAUAAAAUCCAGCGAUGCCACUCUUGGGCACAUAACUAAAGGACACUCCAUCCUACCACAGAGAUACUUGCUCAGCUAUGUUCAUUGCAGCAUUAUUCAUAAUAGCCAGAAACUGGAAACAACCUAGAUGUCCUCAAC
This is a non-coding RNA of Cricetulus griseus (Chinese hamster), 1068 nucleotides long. The record is from RefSeq and is a predicted model, not a curated record. Lineage: Eukaryota; Metazoa; Chordata; Mammalia; Rodentia; Cricetidae.